RNA transcript from Sphaerodactylus townsendi, 1673 nucleotides. It is a transcript of the gene named phenylalanyl-tRNA synthetase 2, mitochondrial, with no coding region annotated. The transcript is spliced from 8 exons. NCBI's taxonomy places the organism in Eukaryota, Metazoa, Chordata, Lepidosauria, Squamata, Sphaerodactylidae. The record is from RefSeq and is a predicted model, not a curated record.
GCGCCGCCGGAGCCUGAUGCCGGAAGCCGCGGAGCUGGGAGGGACGAGGCCGCGCUGGGCCGCCGGGGAGCCGGGAGCUCUGUAGCGGCUCGGCCUUGCCUGCGUCGCUCCUUCGGGCGCCGGGAGUGGGAGAGGGAGCAGCCCCUGAAGAACAACACGGUGGUGGCCAUGUCUCGAAAAGUGCGACAAAUGGUUCAUUUUGGCAAAAUUGUUUCACCCUGGGGACUUCAGCUGAAAAGAACUGCCAGCGAGUUUAGCCGUGCUUGGCCCAGGAAUGUAUCAUCAGGUGUUGUCGCUACGACCUCAUCAGCCAACACCAUGGAACUUCUUGGAAAACCUUACCUGCAAGAUGACUACAGCAAUGUCACCAAGAAGAUUCUUUCUAAGGUGGGAAGAAACUUGCACAACCAACGUUAUCAUCCUUUGUGGCUGAUAAAAGAACGAGUGAAGGAUCAUUUCUACAAGCAAUACAUAGGGCGCUUCGGGAACCCGCUGUUUUCAGUUUAUGACGAUUUGUCUCCAGUGGUCACAGUAGAACAGAAUUUUGACAGCCUGCUUGUACCAAAAAGUCAUCCUAGCAGGAAGAAAGGGGAUAACUACUAUUUAAAUCGCGCUCAUAUGCUGAGAGCCCACACUUCAGCUCACCAGUGGGACUUGAUGCACUCCGGACUUGAUGCCUUUCUUGUUAUGGGAGAUGUUUACCGUCGUGAUCAGAUUGAUAACACCCACUACCCAGUCUUUCACCAGAUGGAAGGUGUCCGACUUUUCUCCAACCAUGAGCUGUUCAGUAACAUCAGCAGCGGAGAAAGUCUUUCCUUGUUUGAAAAUGGUCUUCGCACGUCAUACAAGCAAGAGAGUCACACUGUGGAAGCAGUGAAGCUUGUGGAGCACAGUUUGAAGCAAGCGUUGGCAAGACUUGUGGCUCAUCUCUUUGGUGAGGGGCUUGAGAUUCGAUGGGUGGACUGCUAUUUCCCAUUUACUCACCCUUCCUUCGAGAUGGAGAUCAACUUCCAGGGAGAAUGGAUGGAGGUCUUAGGUUGCGGGGUCAUGGAGCAGCAGCUUGUUAACUCAGCUGGCGCCGAGAACAAAAUUGGCUGGGCGUUUGGCUUGGGCAUGGAGAGGCUGGCCAUGAGUCUGUAUGGGAUACCCGACAUCCGCCUUUUCUGGAGCGAAGACGAGCGUUUCCUGAAACAGUUCUGUGUGCCUCGUAUUGAUCAAAAAAUAACAUUUCAGCCUUUCAGCAAAUACCCUCCCGUGAUCAACGAUAUCUCUUUUUGGCUACCCUCUGAAAAAUAUUCUGCAAAUGACUUCUAUGAUUUAGUCCGAACUAUUGGUGGAGACAUGGUGGAAAGCGUUGACCACAUAGAUGAGUUCACCCAUCCAAAGAACUUAAAGAAGGCCACAGCUCAGCAUUUCUUACCUGAAAAAUUGCUGUCAUGACAUCAAGGGUGAGGAUGACACAGAAAGAGGCAAACAUGAGGCUCCCAGCCACUUGCAAUGCUAACGUGUGUGGGGAGGGAUGGAAUUUUCAGAAGACAAAGGACGAAAAGGGUCAGCCAUUGUUACCAGAUCACUUACCGACACUUGGGGAGAACCCUGUCUCAGAAGGAAGUGAAUCACCUCCAUCAAGCCAUUGAGGAAGCCGUUGUCCGAGAGCUGGGAGUAGAAGGACG